This 182-nucleotide ribosomal RNA is filed under the name Staphylococcus agnetis. Its description in RNAcentral is "partial 23S ribosomal RNA". It matches the Rfam family "Bacterial large subunit ribosomal RNA", at positions 2744 to 2925 of the family's 2925-position model. Lineage: Bacteria; Bacillati; Bacillota; Bacilli; Caryophanales; Staphylococcaceae. The record is from RNAcentral.
GGUAGCUAUGUAUGGACGGGAUAAGUGCUGAAAGCAUCUAAGCAUGAAGCCCCCCUCAAGAUGAGAUUUCCCAACUUCGGUUAUAAGAUCCCUCAAAGAUGAUGAGGUUAAUAGGUUCGAGGUGGAAGCGUAGCGAUACGUGGAGCUGACGAAUACUAAUCGAUCGAAGACUUAAUCAAUUU